Mya arenaria is the source of this 2750-nucleotide long non-coding RNA. RefSeq lists it as uncharacterized. The transcript is spliced from 3 exons. Lineage: Eukaryota; Metazoa; Mollusca; Bivalvia; Myida; Myidae. The record is from RefSeq and is a predicted model, not a curated record.
GAUUUAAACAGUAGCACGUUUUUUUUUGCGGUAUUCCUACUUUCACUUUGGACAACAUUUGAAGGCUUUUCCAAAUUGCGUCAUUAAAACCAGGAAUGAUAGCCGUCCAAUGAAAACGCUUCUUGCAUUUCAGAUAUAGGCGUGUGUGCGGUCAAGGUCGAAAUUGCGAGAGGGUGAUUCGAAGUGAAAUACCGCAACAAAAACGUUCGAUUUGGACAUCAACGCGUGUAACUGAAUGAGUCACAAUGUUUCUACCACAAGAGUUGUAAAUAUUGAACAGAAAGGGCUUCAUUUUCAAGAUGAAAACUGCAAAAAAUGGCCACCAACAAUAAUGGGCCAGGACUGAGGAGUUCCAAGAAAUGAGUAUUCUUCAGCCCACAAAUAUCAGUGCUGCCCCACUGCCCAAAACCAGAGUGUGGCAACAAGUAAAUGGACCUUGACAAAUGUCUUCUAUGUUAGAGCCAGUCCCUUACACAAGUGGCCUACUAUUGCACAGCUGAGGUUGUUAUCAAAUGCAGCAGUAGGUAUGAAAUGCGGAAACUGUUCCAACUUGAUCUUCAACAGUUGAGUUACUCCUCAUCACAAUACCUGAACUGAAAACAAUCGGUGACGAUCCUGCACUUCACUUCUACCUCACAGUGCUCUUCCCUAUAAACGGUAGAGGAAAGUUUGAAAAUGAAAACCUUGUCAUUGCAAGUGUGAAAGGACCAAUUGAUUCAUAACGAAACAACCUGCCUCAAUGCUUUAGCUGACACUGCAUCAAGUCAACACAAGGCAAUUUGUUUUUCUUGCAACCUGACCUGUAUGUUGAAUCUGAUCAAAAUUGUACACAACCACUGGUCAAGAAUAUAGAAAUACAAGUUGUAUGAUCAGUAACCUAAAAUAUUCUUGAAUAUUUGAACAUAAUAAAAGAGUAUUUGUUAAAGUUAUACAUAUUGUGUGUAGUGUAGGUAAGAUCAAUGUCAAGGUUAUUUUGGCUAAAAACAAGGAAAAUGAGUCUUGAUUCAUAACAUCGAUGAAAUAGCAAGCUUUAAGUAUUUUCGAUAAAGUGAUACAUAUAUUUUGUGGUGAUGUCAUAACCUUGUUUCACUGUUUUUGAAGAGAAAACACAUGUUAUAAAUAUAUUAUCACAUUUGUGUUUUUUUAGCUCGACUAUUUUAAGAAUAAGGUGGGCUAUACUAUUCGCUCUGGUGUCGGUGUCCGGUUCAAGUUUUAGGGCAAGUUGGGAUUUUCACUUAUAAGUCCAAUACCCUUCAUUCAAUUGACUUGAUACCUAACACAGUUGUUCAGGGCCAUCAUAUAAUGGGAAUAGAUAAUUCCUUUAUACAAGUUAUGGCCCCUGAUUGACUUAGGUUAAAGGUUUAGGGCUGGUUAAAGUUUUAGAACAAGUUGGGAUUUUCACUAAUAAGACCAAUACCCUUCAUUCAAUUGACUUAAUACUUUACACAGUUGUUCAGUGCCAUCACAUAAUUAGGUAAGAUAACUCCAUAUCAUAUUUUAUUCACAUAAUGGCCCCUGAUUAACUAUGGAACUUAGAUUAAAAUUUUAGGGCAGGUUGAUAUAUUUAUUGAUAACUUCUAUACCCUUCAUUCAUAUUAUCCUUAAUACAAGUUAUGGCCCCUGAUUGACUUAGGUUAAAGUUUUAGGGCAAGUUAAAGUUUUAGGGCAAGUUGGGAUUUUAAUAAAAAAAACUUCCAUAACUUCAUUCAAUGCACUUAAUACUUCGCAGAAUUAUUGACGACCAUCUUACACUAAGGAACAUAACUUCAUGUUAACCCUAAAUACAAAUUAUUGCCCUUGAAUGUUUUUUUUCCUUUUUAACUCUUUUUUUAAUUUCUUUUGAAAGGCACAUUUUUAUAUUCCUAACCACAUUUUCAUAAAGGGAAAACAAGAUAUUUGAAUGACCUGUGUCAUUGUUCGGGCGGGCUGGUGUUAGAGCAGCGUCAAAGUCACCUUAUGUAUCGAAUAAUUUUAGCUAGGUUUGACAUAAAGAGACCAAACUUGGUAUAUGCAAAGAGUUUAUGGAGACCUUUUAUGGGAAUGCAUUUGAGGCUCCUAUGAUCAAGGUCAAGGUUACUAUUAAUAGAAAAAGGGUUGGUUUUGAAUAACUUAAGUAAAGGUCUUCUAAUUGGUACCAAAUUUGGUAUAUAGGAAGAGUUUAUAGAGACCUUUCCUGAGAUUGUGUUUUUUGUCCCCGAGAGUUAUGGUUUAGGUCAAGGUCAAAAUAGAAAUAUGGUAAGUACUGAAUUACUCAAGUAAGGGUUGACAUAGUGUGACCAAACUUGGUAUAUAGGACAAGUAUAUGCAGAGCUUUAAUGGAUGCUUUUUGGUCCCCUAGGGUCGUUGUCACUGUUACUAAAAAUAGAUUACUGUUUCAGUUAAGGCUUACAUACUGUGACCAAACUUGAUAUAUGUAGGAAGAGUUUAUAGCACGGACACGAGUAUGUGUACUCUGACAUUUAAAUAUCUCGUGUGACUUUGAUCUUUGAGUUAUGAACCCUGGUCAAUGUCACUGCUCAUCGUCUCAAUGAGGACAACAUUUGUACCAAGCAAUAUGGUAAUCCAUCAAUGCAUAAGUAAGUUAUAGCACGGACUUGAAAUGUUACAGCCAGACGGACAGACAGACUGAUGAAGUGUUUCUGUAAUCCCCUCCCCACUCCGUCGCGGGGGAUUUGAAAUUUGAUAUUUAUAAAAUAGUGUACUUCCAUUUUUGCCAUUGUUGUGUUUUACCAUUCUGUCAAUAUGUUAAG